This 3170-nucleotide long non-coding RNA is filed under the name Homo sapiens (human). RNAcentral describes it as "HSALNT0333246". The record is from RNAcentral. Lineage: Eukaryota; Metazoa; Chordata; Mammalia; Primates; Hominidae.
CUCCCGCCCCCAAACCCUUAAAUAAUGCAAAAAAAAAAAAAAAAUUGCUGGGGGCUAUACAAUAUCAGAAAAACGUCUGUGGGCCAGAUUUGGCCAGCAGGCAGGUUUUUGCUGGUCCCUGGCCUAAGGAAUGGUUGACCUCAAGAUAGAAUAGAAACUGAAUCACCACAUGGAGGAAAGCUCCCCACCAACCAAGGAUUCUUCACAUCAGCAGCCUCUGCCAUGGACCAUUGUGUGACUGAGAAAUAAACAUCUUCUGUAUUUGAGCCAGGAUGUAUGUUUAGGUCUAGGUGUUACAGAAGCUAGGUUAACCUAACUAAUACAGAGAAGAUAGCUAAGGCAGGGCAUCCGAAAAGAUGACAGGUAAACACAAAUCUGAAGGAGAAAGCCAGGCAGAUGUUUGGGAGAAGAGAAUUACAAGCAGAGGCCCCAGAGUCAGGAGCACAUCUCUAGUGUUUGAGGAACAGAGAGAAGCGAGUGAGUCUGGAUUAGAAUGCUCAGGAAGAAGGCUAUGGGGAUUUGAGUUUACAGAAGAAAGAGGCAACUAAAUUUUGUAGAACCUCACAGAUUAUGGCUUGGUUUUAUUUAGAGGGAAACGGGAAGCUUCUAGAAGGUUCUGAGUUGAGUAGUGACAUGACAAUGCUGUGGUAACAAUGGUUUCACUCUGACUGCCUUACUGAAGAUGCAUAAAGGGGAUCUCUGGUGGAAUUGGGAGACCAGUUAGGAGACUACUGCAAUCAUUCAAGAGAAAGAUGAUGGAGACUGGGAAUAAAAUUGCAGCAAUGGAGAAGUCAUCUUUUCUAAAACUCUUCUAGUGGCAGCUCUAAAUAUCAGUUGGACUGGUACUGAAGAAAAAACAGGACAAAAAGGCCAGAAGGUCUCGCCCCACAGCAAAUUAGAAGUUAAUUUGCAUGAGAGCAAGAGCCUUUGCUGUCCUGUUUUACAUCGUUGAUGCCUAAAUGAAAAGAAUGAAAGAAGAUGGAGAGAUCUGAGUACAACCAUCAAGUGAAGGCGUAACCAAGGGAGGCUUGAGCAUACACGUAGACAGAGGGGAGGAAUCUUGUGGAAUAGAAGAGGAUAGAGACACAGAAGAGAGGAUUCAUUGGUGAAAUGAAGCCUCAUGCAUGUUAAUGGGUAAAUAACUUGAGUUGAGAUUUAUCCCGGGAAGACAAAAUCCAGUUCUUUCACUCAGCUAGGAAACACCCCUGCAUCCCCUUAGGAAUCUGCUCUCCUUUAGAAGCAAUUAUCUGACUUUGCUGUGGCUGAAAAACAACACUUUGGCCAAAAGGAAGUUUCUCAUUGAUCAACCCUAUAGCUUUAGAUGUCCCUGACACUGGCCCUCAAAUUCUCAAUGUCUGGUUAAGGACUAGUCAUAACAAAGAAGAUGAUUUCGUCUUAACAUAUGCACAGAGAACACCUGGGCAGGGCAGAGUUCCUUAGCUUAGUUGAGCUGUUAAAUUUGGAGGUAUGACUUUAAUAAGGAUUUUAUAAGUAAACCUAAAAAUUGUGUGGGCCAAUCACCACCCUCUACCCAACCUAUUUUACAAAUGAUGUGCAAAAUUCAAGAGGUUGACUGAAACUCUUCCUCCCGAUUUAUGAUUGAAGACUGUUCCCAUUCCUCAUGCCAUGCAGAAAAAGCCAAAAACUUUGCUUUUGUCUAUCCUUCUUCCUUCUCUGCCAAAGAAGGCAUAAAAAUGUGCUAUAAGCUCGUGUUUGGGAUGGGGGAAAUUACUCCUGUGGAGGUCUCCGGAAUGACAUGAGUAUUUCACUUCAAAUUCAGCCAAACCUGAGGAAAUGCUUUGCCAAGUUUCUCAGGUCUCAGUCCUUUUUCUUGGUGCACUGAGUCACAUCUCUUUCCAAGUUUACCAAGAAUACGUCCCCUAGUAAAGGCAGAAAACAAUGGCAGGAUGGUAAAGCCAAUCUAUCUGUAUAUGCAGUGCAGUAAUAAAGCUCUCUGGUUCAUUUUUCAUGCCUAAACCACCUUUUAGAGUUUUCAAAUACAGUGAUUUCUCUUUGUUCUUAGCAGUUGAAGUUCUGCAUAUGAUACAGCAUUAAAACAAAUCUUUCAUACAUUUCCUUUGUCACCUGCUCGGAAUCUUUGGGAGAUCAAGGCUUCUUUCUGAGCACUAGGAAGUGCCUCCUCUCUCUAAGGAAACACAUCAAAGACAAAAGCCCCCUCCUCCACAAAUAAUGAAAGAAAUCAGAAUAUAAGCCAAAACUGAAAUGGGAAUGUGAGAUGCUAAAUGCAUUAGUCACGUGUUUGUUUUCAGAGCACCUCAUUUCCUGUGGCUUCUUCUCCCAUGACUGGUUUCCACAAGGUUGACUAAGACCAAAGAGUGACACCGUAGUGUGAUGUACUGGGCUGUCCCAUUUGUCAACUUUCAAUUGCUCAUGAAAAAAGAGAGUUAACUCCUUCACCACUGCCUCCUCUUUUCUCUUCCUACCCUUCUCAGAAUACAAGAAUUUCUUAUUAUCUUAGAGAUCCUUGCUGCUGCUUUCUUGUGACGUUUUGUCUACUAGAAUCUAAUUGAAAAGUGCUACUGUUCCUCAUCCCAUUUUAUCCCCCAGAAAACUGGCAGUCUUGACAAUUUUCUGACAUUUCCAAACAGCUCAGGCUCUUCCUGCCAACUCCCAGUAGCUCUCUAAACCUUUUUAAUCCCAUAGAAUGCAAACUAAUCUACUGAGAGAAAGGCACCAGGCCUGGUCUGGCAGCUGAAGCUAGGAAUGUCAGAGUGGGGAAAAUGAUAAAUACACCUGCCACAGAGAAAGGGAGAGACACAGCCAGGCUCAGCAACACAAUAAGGUUAUUUAAUGUACAGAGAUAGGCAGGACACUCUCCAGUACCCUCGAGUGCAAAUUGCAUGGAGGUGAUUUGUUCAGAAAUAGAAAUGACAGCUAUUAACAAUGUGCACAGUCUCGAGGUGGCUGUGUUAGGGAAGACACAGAGAUAAGGGGCAGAAAUCCACCUGUGUCCCCUCAGACCACUCUCAGUUUUCCUCUGUUUGUUCCAGGGUUACUGAAGUCAGUAGCACCUUGGGAUCUACAUCUCCAUGCUGUGGAAGGAGGGGAAUGGCUGCCUCCUAGAUGGGAACCACUGGAUUAAGUUAAUAUCAGGCUGCUCCAGAAGCAACGAAGUGACUUUGAGUAAAAGUAUCUUUCUGUGCUCUCAA